AGAGUUUGAUCCUGGCUCAGGACGAACGCUGGCGGCGUGCCUAAUACAUGCAAGUCGAGCGCAGGAAACCAGUUGACCCCUUCGGGGUGAUUCUGGCGGAAUGAGCGGCGGACGGGUGAGUAACACGUGGGCAACCUGCCUGUAAGACUGGGAUAACUUCGGGAAACCGGAGCUAAUACCGGAUAGUAUUUCCUUUCUCCUGAUUGGAAAUGGAAAGACGGUUUCGGCUGUCACUUACAGAUGGGCCCGCGGCGCAUUAGCUAGUUGGUGAGGUAACGGCUCACCAAGGCGACGAUGCGUAGCCGACCUGAGAGGGUGAUCGGCCACACUGGGACUGAGACACGGCCCAGACUCCUACGGGAGGCAGCAGUAGGGAAUCUUCCGCAAUGGACGAAAGUCUGACGGAGCAACGCCGCGUGAGUGAUGAAGGUUUUCGGAUCGUAAAACUCUGUUGUUAGGGAAGAACAAGUACAAGAGUAACUGCUUGUACCUUGACGGUACCUAACCAGAAAGCCACGGCUAACUACGUGCCAGCAGCCGCGGGUAAUACGUAGGUGGCAAGCGUUGUCCGGAAUUAUUGGGCGUAAAGCGCGCGCAGGCCGUCCUUUAAGUCUGAUGUGAAAGCCCACGGCUCAACCGUGGAGGGUCAUUGGAAACUGGGGGACUUGAGUGCAGAAGAGAAGAGUGGAAUUCCACGUGUAGCGGUGAAAUGCGUAGAGAUGUGGAGGAACACCAGGUGGCGAAGGCGACUCUUUGGUCUGUAACUGACGCUGAGGCGCGAAAGCGUGGGGAGCAAACAGGAUUAGAUACCCUGGUAGUCCACGCCGUAAACGAUGAGUGCUAAGUGUUAGAGGGUUUCCGCCCUUUAGUGCUGCAGCAAACGCAUUAAGCACUCCGCCUGGGGAGUACGGCCGCAAGGCUGAAACUCAAAGGAAUUGACGGGGGCCCGCACAAGCGGUGGAGCAUGUGGUUUAAUUCGAAGCAACGCGAAGAACCUUACCAGGUCUUGACAUCCUCUGACACUCCUAGAGAUAGGACGUUCCCCUUCGGGGGACAGAGUGACAGGUGGUGCAUGGUUGUCGUCAGCUCGUGUCGUGAGAUGUUGGGUUAAGUCCCGCAACGAGCGCAACCCUUGAUCUUAGUUGCCAGCAUUUAGUUGGGCACUCUAAGGUGACUGCCGGUGACAAACCGGAGGAAGGUGGGGAUGACGUCAAAUCAUCAUGCCCCUUAUGACCUGGGCUACACACGUGCUACAAUGGAUGGUACAAAGGGCAGCAAAACCGCGAGGUCGAGCCAAUCCCAUAAAACCAUUCUCAGUUCGGAUUGUAGGCUGCAACUCGCCUACAUGAAGCUGGAAUCGCUAGUAAUCGCGGAUUAGCAUGCCGCGGUGAAUACGUUCCCGGGCCUUGCACACACCGCCCGUCA
Molecule: ribosomal RNA, 1425 nt
Filed under: uncultured bacterium
Lineage: Bacteria
Description: bacterial SSU rRNA
Rfam family: Bacterial small subunit ribosomal RNA
Source: RNAcentral